This 253-nucleotide ribosomal RNA is filed under the name uncultured bacterium. RNAcentral's name for it is "partial 16S ribosomal RNA". It matches the Rfam family "Bacterial small subunit ribosomal RNA", at positions 524 to 776 of the family's 1533-position model. The record is from RNAcentral.
UACGGAGGGGGCUAGCGUUAUUCGGAAUUAUUGGGCGUAAAGGGCGCGUAGGCGGCCCGGUAAGUCAAAGGUGAAAUCCCUCGGCUCAACUGAGGAACUGCCUUUGAAACUGUCGGGCUUGAGGCCGGGAGGGGGUAGCGGAAUUCCCAGUGUAGCGGUGAAAUGCGCAGAUAUCAGGAAGAACACCAAUGGCGAAGGCAGCUCUCUGGGACGGUACUGACGCUGAGACGCGAAAGCGUGGGGAGCGAACAGG